CUCUAUUUCACAUGUCUCUACACAUGAAUCCUUUGAGGAUGGGGCCCUGAAAACAUGCGUCCUUCUUCAUCUGGUGCCCAGUAUGGAUUCGGACUCCAAGAGGAUGGACAUUGAAGAGGCUCCUUAUGAAGUUUGAUAGCCAUUUGGGCAAGAAACUGCUCUUUCCUGGACUUGUUGGUGAACUGGACAUACAGAACCCACAGAGAAAUGACUGCUGAACUUACCUAAAGGUCAGCAUCAAUAAGAAUACAGUCUCAGUAAAUUAUCAGCCAAGGAGCAUGGGAUUGAAUGAACCAAAUCAAUUGUUGGAAGGAUGGAGAGGAGCUAUGUCAUUCACAUGGUUAUCCUGGAUGGAAGCACCAAGCCAUUGUGGAGUUGUAUCCUCACCCUCUCCCCUUACGCUUGAAUAUCACCAGUACUCUGCCCUGGGGGUGUUGAAUUUUAGUAGAAAACAGAGAGAGUAUCCAGUCAUCGGAGUUAGAAUCUGUUAGCUUUGCAGAAGGGUCAGUGGAAAGUACAGAUCCCUUAAGGAGCUUUCAUUCACAGGACAUUCUAGAUGGUCCUCCCAGUGGUAAUCUUGUUAACUCUUCUCAUGGGGAUCAAGACCCAGGCAACAAGCCUCCACAAACCACAGAAGGAGCAGAGGGAGAUCAAGGAUGAAACAGUCAAGGGUAAUGGAAGGAGGCAGAGCUGAACAAGACUGUAGCCUCUGCUUCCUCCUGGCUUACAGCUCUUCUAGACACAAAGGAACCAAAAGGACGACCCUCCUUCCUGAAGAAGUCCAGUGAGCAACAUUUGUCCACACAGAUUCCCUGCCAUGU
Molecule: long non-coding RNA, 821 nt
Organism: Myodes glareolus (Bank vole)
Lineage: Eukaryota; Metazoa; Chordata; Mammalia; Rodentia; Cricetidae
Source: RefSeq, a predicted model, not a curated record